UACGUAGGGGCAAGCGUUGUCCGGAAUCAUUGGGCGUAAAGCGCGUGUAGGCGGCUCGGUAAGUCCGCUCUGAAAGCCCGGGGCUCAACCCCGGGAGGCGGGUGGAUACUGCUGAGCUCGAGUCCGGAAGAGGAGUGUGGAAUUCCUGGUGUAGCGGUGAAAUGCGCAGAUAUCAGGAGGAACACCAAUGGCGAAGGCAGCACUCUGGGACGGUACUGACGCUGAGACGCGAAAGCGUGGGGAGCAAACAGG
This 252-nucleotide ribosomal RNA is filed under the name uncultured bacterium. RNAcentral's name for it is "partial 16S ribosomal RNA". It matches the Rfam family "Bacterial small subunit ribosomal RNA", at positions 524 to 776 of the family's 1533-position model. The record is from RNAcentral.